AUGCUUAACACAUGCAAGUCGAACGCUUGUUGGGGUUUCGGCUCCAACGGGAGUGGCGCACGGGUGAGUAGCGCGUGGGAACCUGCCCUCUUGUGGGGGAUAACCGAUGGAAACGUCGGCUAAUACCGCAUAAGCCCGGGGGAAACUCCGGGGAAAGAUUUAUCGCGAGAGGAGGGGCCCGCGUCGGAUUAGGUAGUUGGUGGGGUAACGGCCUACCAAGCCUGUGAUCCGUAGCUGGUCUGAGAGGAUGAUCAGCCACACUGGGACUGAGACACGGCCCAG
This 282-nucleotide ribosomal RNA is filed under the name uncultured bacterium. Its description in RNAcentral is "partial 16S ribosomal RNA". It matches the Rfam family "Bacterial small subunit ribosomal RNA", at positions 45 to 334 of the family's 1533-position model. The record is from RNAcentral.